Macaca mulatta (Rhesus monkey) is the source of this 117-nucleotide unclassified non-coding RNA. It matches the Rfam family "Metazoan signal recognition particle RNA". Rfam says of the family: The signal recognition particle (SRP) is a universally conserved ribonucleoprotein. It is involved in the co-translational targeting of proteins to membranes. The record is from Ensembl. Lineage: Eukaryota; Metazoa; Chordata; Mammalia; Primates; Cercopithecidae.
GCCGGGCGUGGUGGCUCACGCCUGUAAUUCCAGCACUUUAGGAGGCUGAGGCGGGUGGAUCACCUGAGGUCAGGAGUUCGGGACCAGCCUGGCCAACAUGGUGAAACCCCGUCUCUA